Long non-coding RNA from Zalophus californianus (California sea lion), 3103 nucleotides. RefSeq lists it as uncharacterized. NCBI's taxonomy places the organism in Eukaryota, Metazoa, Chordata, Mammalia, Carnivora, Otariidae. The record is from RefSeq and is a predicted model, not a curated record. The transcript has 3 exons.
GGCUGAGAGGCUGCAGCUGCGGGAGGCAACCGCGACCGGGACGGGGGCUCGGGUCACACAAACAGAGCCACACCUACCCCGCCCGCCCCAGCCUUCUACGGUCCCCGCGGCCGGCGCUCCUGCGCGGGGCCCAGCCCUCGGCGACUAAUACUCAACUUUCCCAGCCCCGCCCCACUGCCCGCCCCGGGGCUGCAGUCCCAGGCUCCCGCCGGGCGGAGACUCGACCGCCUCCUUUUCCAGCAUGUUCAUUCCCGACCCCGCCCGUGGCUGGCGGGUGCGUGGGUGCUCCGUUCCCCGUGUGGCCCGCGCGCGGAGAGAGCCCAAGUGCGCCCCGCUGCCGCGCGCCCGCCGGGCCUUGCCCCGCCGCCCUUCCUUCUCGCUCCAGCUGCCCGUAAGGCCGGCUCCGGCUUCGGCCUGCGCGGGGCACCUUGGCGCCUCCUCCCCGUGGACUGUCAGCCGCGGCGCGGCCAGCGACGGACGGAGGCUUCCGGGAACUUAGACGCGGGAGAGGCCGACGCCCGCUGCUUGCCCUGCCUCCCUCAUCUCGGAGGAAGUGGCGACCACAUCCUUCCCCAGGGCUGGCACACCAACAACUUGGAGUCGUCCUCCGCUCUCCUUUCUUCCCCUCUCCCAGUAGGCAGAAAGUAGCAAACUCACACUCCUUCUUCAAACUACUGUAUGAAGAAUUCUACUACUCUUCUGUGACACCCUGGUCUGCCACCAGCAUCUCUCACUUGGAUUACUGCCUUCAUCUCCCUCUGCUCUCCCUGCUUCCACCCUGGAGACCCUACAGGCUACUUUCCAAAGCAGCAGUCGGGAUGAUUGGUAAAACAUCCCCUGAGCCUCUGCCCAGGACCGUCCAAUUGCUCUGUAGCUCAUGACAAAAACACCUUGUUAGUUCGAAGCUUCCUCAGGAGCUUCUCAAGUGUGAUCUGAAGCCGGCGCUAGUGUGGCUUGGAGACCCAGGCAAACCACUCCAGAUUGCUUUGCCAGAUCUCUUUGGUGAAGAUAGAGCAUUCCUUGGGAAAGAGUGUGACCCUGAAUGCUAAAAUGUGAACACAUGGAAAGAUUCAGAUGGCUUCUAGUUCCCUGAGCUCCCAAACCUAUGGAAAUACACUAUUCAGAUCUCCUGCUGCAUGGAGUAUGACUGACUGACACUCAGCAGCUGCCCACCCUUGCACCGAGGCCAUGCUCCCGGGCUGCUCCCAAUGGGGGAGCACGUGAAGUACCAAGGCAGGCCAGUUUUGGCAAGAUGUGAGAAUCCACCUUUGGCAACUUUGCCUUGAAGACUCCCCAUUGGCCUGGCCACACCUUUAUUUGAAUUGUGCUGCAGCUCAAGAUUCUUCUUCCCCCAAUCCUCCUGCCUUCCCUCUCUCCUUCCACUGGCAUUACACAUGAAUCAUAAUCUAAAGCCUCUCCCUAUGUUCUCCUGAUCCCUCUCCCCCCUUGAAAUCUCUUGAACUUCUAAUCCCGUUGUAUCAUCUGUUUCUUGGCAGACCUAAACUAAUGCAGCCUUCCUCGUCAGACAAAUUCUCCCCAUCCCCUGUGUGUGAGGCUUUUCUCAUCCUGCACGAAGACUCUGUAAUGACCUUAGUGGACAUAAUCUGUCAGGAGGUUGGGGUAGCCAAUUCUCUUCAUUCUUCACCCCUAACAUCUUUCCUAGCCUUGAAUCAUGCCAUCAGUAAUGUGCUAGAGACAGUCUGUACCAGAUCACAAAAGUCAAUUGAGAAAUUUUCAGGAAUUUCGUGAGCUGGUUGGUAAACACAGUCAUUAUUAAAACUUAAAUGUACUUAUAAAUAAAUUACAUUAACAACAAAGGUAAUAAAAACUCAAAAACUUAUCACUCUCUAGUUAUUAACAAUAUUUUAUUAGUAUCUAUGCUCUUGAAGUUACUUACAUCUCUUAUGUCUGGGUGUUGGAAAUAAUAUAUAAUGGUGUGCUGCUUGCACUUCUCUUUGGAGUUUGAAGGCCAGAUUUAGAUGUGCUGUUUCAGCUCAUUUCUUCAGCCAGCUGAGAGGUGACAGCUUUGAGGGCAGCUUGAAGCAAGAGAAGGCUUGUAGCCGGUCCAGGAAGCUCUGCCCUCUGAUCCAAUGAAUCCAGUGUACUUGAAACACCUGUGGCAGAUUGGGCUGCUGCAUGGAGCUUUGGCACGUCCAGGAAGGCAAAGCAGAGCACAGGCCCCCAGGGUUUUGCAGCCCAGUCGUGAACUCUGUGGCAUAUAACUGUUCUCCUUUUGAGAGGCCAAUCUUGGUUUGUUGCCUGGCACCAAUAAAUACAGCAGCCUGAUCAUGAGGCAUUAGGUAACCAAGCGACUGAUGCCCUUUGUAAACUCAGGGUCAUCUGAUCCACCAAGCCAUAAAGUCAGCUAACAUUUAGUGUGUCUGAACAGUGUGCCAGGCACUGUUCCAUGCACUUUACUUGUAACAUUUCUUUUCAUCUUCACCACAAUUCUGGGAGGCAGUUCUGUUAUUAUUGCUAUUAUCCCUGCUUUGGCUGAGAAAACCGAUACAGAGAGAGGAUAAGUGAUUUGCCACCUAGUCAUAUAGCUCAUAAGUAGCAGAGCUUGGUUUGAACCCGGACCCUCUGGCCCCAAAGUCCACAUGUUCAAUUACCAAAUUAUAUGGCUUCUUGUGAUCGAGUGGAAGUUCUCUGUAUAAGAUUGGGCUUGAGCAGAAAUUGAAGACACAACAGAUUGCAUGGUGUGCUCAGUCCUCGCAUACUGCUGCUUUUCCUCCAGCGACACAUCUGACCCAGGGAUGCUCGCGAAGUCCAGAGGACUGAACAGACAACCUGCACAAGAUGAUGGCAGUGCCACAAGUGGAUGCCACAACACUCUAGUCCAACUCAAGGCUGGCCCUGAAGAACAACUGAGGAGAAUUCUCCAGUAGGCAGAAUUUUUAACAUUUCAUCCUGUUGACCACUUUGUCUGAAAGGAGACAUGGCCUGAGGUGCAUAUGUCACCUGUACUGGACAGUAACUGAUGGUUUAGCUGGGUGGCCAGACUGGGAAGGUCACGAAUGCAAGGCUGAUGGUAACAAAGAUGUCUGGGGAAGAGGCAUUCAGGGGGUCUCUCAGAACGGAUCCUCUAGAGUAUGAAGAUAUG